UCCAAAACAAACAUCAAAAUAAACACAAGAAUCGGUCACUGAGCACAAAAUGAAUCUUUUACCAUGGCUGUCCCAGUCUUCUGAGCUGAACCCUAUAGAAAAUGAGUGGGGUAAACUGAAGAGAAGAAGUGCUAACAUGGAGCUGUGAAUCUGAAGCAUCGGGAGAGAUUUUGUAUGAAGAAAAUGGUCUUUGAUCUCUUAUCAGGUAUUCUCCAAACUCUUCAGGCAUUACAGGAGAAAACUCAGAGCUGUUAUCCUGGGAAAAGGACGUUGCAAUAAUUGGGUGCCAAUAAUUGUGGCCAACAUGAACUGGAGAAAGCAUUUAUUUCACAAUUAGUUUUUUUUACCCCACUUUCAAUUGUUUUACUUCAAUAAUAGUUUAGAAUUUUGUGAAUUUUUUGAAUGAAAGAUAAACAAUGCAGAUUUAUUUUCAAAGCCGCCUUUGCUCAUAUUUACCAAGGGUGCCAAUAUUAGUGGAGGGCAUUGUAUGUAUUGCUGUUGUUCUGCUGGUGACUGUACCUGAUGUGAUUUACUAAAGCAGUGAUACGCAGAGGUAAGUGAGUGAUUUCCUUGUAUUAGAUACUGACCAUUUUGUUUGUUAUUUUGGCCUCUUCCCACUCCUGAAGUUAUUUUGUUACACUAAUGAUCCUUGUUGCCUGACCUCUGCUUUUGUCUGUGACAUUUUGGAGCCACAAACACUGCUACUAUGCUAAUGUUUUAAUUACCUUUAAUUUUUAGUGUUCCUUCCCCUACCCUAUAGGCUACGGCAGAAUGUAACAGCAGUUGCUCUACAAAAAACACGAGCACAACAGAAUGACAAGCACAUACUUCUGAUUUAAUCAAAUUUAAAUAUAAACUUUUAGUCAAUAAAAGGAGCCUUUAAAGGGUAAAUACAUGUAUUUUAUUCUAAUUAGCCUAACACUGAUUCUUGAGACAUGGGACAAAACAUGUCCAGCAAUUAUAGCUGCUGUUAGGUUUAAAAAUGGAAAUAAUUUCAAUUGUAAAUGUUAUGAUGAGGAAUUAAUAAUAGAAUGUAUUUAACACAAUUAUCCCUUUCAAUUUAAGUUUAUCAUUAUUAUAUCAAAUCUAUGACACUUAUUGUCUUCUCACUACAUCUAAAACAGUGUGUCCACAGAGAAGGGUUCAAUCAUUCAUAUGCUAUAAAAUGGAUAAAAAAGAGCAUGUUUUAUCAAAAACAACAUCUACUCAAAGCACAUAUAGUAAAUAUAGAAAGAUACUAAAAUCCCCUAGAACACCCUACUAACCACAUUUGCUAAUUGUAGACAUUCAUUUAUCAAAUUGUUUGUGUUAUUAACUGCAGGAACUGGAGAAGGUGCAGAUUUCUUCAGCAGUCAUCAUCAUGUGUUUGUGUCUGAACUUCACAACAACCACAGGAACUGAAGAUGCAGCACAUCACGACUACAGCUACAAUCAGAGAUCCAGCAGCAGAGAUCAGCGCUGUGUAAAAUAAGGAUGCAGCCCAUCACGACUGCAGCUACAAUCAACAGAGAGCCAACAGCAGCAGAUAUCAGCACUAUGUAAAACAAGGCCCUGAUCUGUAUGGACAAAAUAAAUAUGUAAGUCUGAC
This is a long non-coding RNA of Onychostoma macrolepis, 1588 nucleotides long. RefSeq lists it as uncharacterized. NCBI's taxonomy places the organism in Eukaryota, Metazoa, Chordata, Actinopteri, Cypriniformes, Cyprinidae. The transcript is spliced from 3 exons. The record is from RefSeq and is a predicted model, not a curated record.